CGACUCAGCAGAGCCAACUCUGAAGCCAAGUCCGGAGAAGAUGGAGACAGGUCUGGAGUGAUCAACUGGGUCACUCAGGGUCUGACCAAAGUGCUGCCUCAGCCUGACGACAAGUACAGAGAGACUGAGAAGGACGAGGAACACACGGAGGUGUAUGACGUAGCCACGAUGCCAGAUUUCGACCCACUUCCCCACAUCCCUGUGGUGGAGAUGGUGUCAGACGACGAGGUGUCGGACACAGAGAGUUUGACACCUCACUUUCCUCCCAAUGUGGUGACCUGGAUAAAGCAGAUAGUUCCUCAGCCGGUCAUACUGCCCCCUGGUGCUGUGCCCGUGGAACCGUCAACCAAGUCCUCCCGCACGUCUCUGGAUAAAAUUCUGUCUCCACCGCCUGAAUCGCUCAGUGGAAUCUCACUGGAUACUGAAAGCAAGGCCUCUGGUGUGGUGAACUGGUUUGUGUCAGGGCUGGGUCUGAAGAUGCCUCAGCCUGUUUCUCCAUCCAAGGAUGAAGCUCAUACCGUACCUGAAGUCAUUCAGAAAGAGAAAAGCGUAGAUUUUGCAGAAAAGAUUUCUUUAACAGAAGAGAGUGAACCCAUCUCAUUACCAGUAAAACCUCUUUUUUCAUUUUGAACAGCUCCUCUGCAUGAGUGUGACAUUUGCAGACUGCUGCAUGUUUGCUUUCUGUUGAAGCAGCCUCUUGUUUUUUCCUUAUAGUUAAUGAAGAGGUGUUUUGGUCGGACGGUCGGAG
Molecule: long non-coding RNA, 748 nt
Organism: Oreochromis aureus
Lineage: Eukaryota; Metazoa; Chordata; Actinopteri; Cichliformes; Cichlidae
Source: Ensembl